Molecule: long non-coding RNA, 871 nt
Filed under: Sinocyclocheilus grahami
Lineage: Eukaryota; Metazoa; Chordata; Actinopteri; Cypriniformes; Cyprinidae
Description: lncRNA (ENSSGRG00000052430.1)
Source: RNAcentral
CUUGCGUUCUCAAAUCCACCGUGAAUCUCUCUCACAGCCAGCCUCCGAGCGCUUGCGGUCGAUUAUUUCCUCGUUACGGACGAGUUUAUGCAACUCCGUUGGAUCUUGUGUCAUUCAGAAUCGAGGUGUUUGAAGUUUCUGCCAAGUCGUCUGGGCCGCAGAGUUUCUCCUGGAAGACGUUCCGAAAGUUACGCAACACUGACCCGUGGAAUUGUGGGAAGUGUAGUUUUGCACAGCCGAACGCGCUCUUUCCUCGAAUUGCUUCUGCCGAAACAAAGCACUUAAUUUUUAUUUUUAAAAUAAAGCCCCCAAAAUAUUUAUGGAAGAGAGGAAUCGGACAUCAGAUCCAUAUUGAUCCUACAGAGCAGAGGAUGGCCGGUCUGUAUCUGUUUCUUCUGCAGAUUUGCGGCGAUGCUUACAAACUGUAUACAAGCCUUGUAAGAGCACAGAGAUGGUGCUGUAGUAACCUCCAUAUACAAGAAGCUGUAACAGAAGAUGAAAAAUAUUGCGUAGCACUGCCAGAUAUUGCUGGUGAGGCCCAUGAGAAAGACACACCCUGCACCAAUGGCAGAGAAAACACCCGGCGAGAGCUCGCCCCACACACCCUACUGCACUCUGAUAUAACCCACAGAGAAAGCUGCCGCUGCACCUGAAAGCAACAAUCACGAAUCACAAUAAGGGAGACGUAAAAUCUGCGAACAAAGAAGAGGCAUGACGCAAGGCAACAAUUCAAUUGUGGAAAUGCAUUUAGACUGCAUUUUUAUUCUGUAUGGCACUCGUUUAUGUUGCCUUUGUUUGAAUGUUCUUGUCAAGGCAUCAAAACAGAGACAUUCUCUUCUGCUGUAAUUAAAGUGACUACUAACCAAACCCC